GAUGAACGCUGGCGGCGUGCCUAAUACAUGCAAGUCGAGCGAACGGACGAUAAGAGUGCUUCUCUAAGGGUAGCGGCGGACGGGCGGGUAAGACGUAGAUAAGCUUCCAAUAAUACGUGGAGAACUACGGGAAAACGGAGCUGCUAAUGGAGAAUAUUUUGAACGGGAGAGUGCAAAAGAAAAAGACGGUCUGCCUGUUACUUUGAGCUGAAUCCGCGCUGGAUUAGCUAGUUGGUAAGGUAACGGCUCACCAAGGCGACGAUGCGUAGCCGAUCUGAGAGGAUGAUCAGCCACACUGGAACUGAGACACGGUCCAGACUCCUACGGGAGGCAGCAGUGGGGAAUAUUGGACAAUGGGCGCAAGCCUGAUCCAGCCAUACCGCGUGAGUGAAGAAGGCCUUCGGGUUGUAAAGCCCUUUUGUUGGGAAAGAAAAGCAGCAGGUGAAUACCCCGCUGUUCUGACGGUACCCAAAGAAUAAGCACCGGCUAACUUCGUG
This 497-nucleotide ribosomal RNA is filed under the name uncultured bacterium. Its description in RNAcentral is "partial 16S ribosomal RNA". It matches the Rfam family "Bacterial small subunit ribosomal RNA", at positions 28 to 507 of the family's 1533-position model. The record is from RNAcentral.